This 274-nucleotide ribosomal RNA is filed under the name uncultured bacterium. Its description in RNAcentral is "partial 16S ribosomal RNA". It matches the Rfam family "Bacterial small subunit ribosomal RNA", at positions 523 to 796 of the family's 1533-position model. The record is from RNAcentral.
AUACGGAGGGCGCGAACGUUGCUCGGAAUCAUUGGGCGUAAAGCGCACGUAGGCGGCCUGAUAAGUCGGAUGUGAAAGCCCACGGCUCAACCGUGGAAGUGCAUUCGAAACUGUCAGGCUUGAGUAUGGGAGAGGGUUGCGGAAUUCCCGGUGUAGAGGUGAAAUUCGUAGAUAUCGGGAGGAACACCAGUGGCGAAGGCGGCAGCCUGGACCAAUACUGACGCUGAGGUGCGAAAGCGUGGGGAGCAAACAGGAUUAGAAACCCUUGUAGUCC